GUUGGAGUAUCUCAGUUGGAUAGAGCGUGUGGUUGUUAUCCACAAGGUCGAAGGUUCAACUCCUUCCUCUAGCA
This is a transfer RNA of Ipomoea nil (Japanese morning glory), 74 nucleotides long. It matches the Rfam family "tRNA". Rfam says of the family: Transfer RNA (tRNA) molecules are approximately 80 nucleotides in length. Their secondary structure includes four short double-helical elements and three loops (D, anti-codon, and T loops). NCBI's taxonomy places the organism in Eukaryota, Viridiplantae, Streptophyta, Magnoliopsida, Solanales, Convolvulaceae. The record is from Rfam.